AGGAGCUUGCUUUUCUUAGCUUAGUGGCGAACGGGUGAGUAACGCGUGAGUAACCUGCCUUGUACUGGGGGACAACAGUUGGAAACGACUGCUAAUACCGCAUGACGCAUAGAGGUCGCAUGAUCUUUAUGCCAAAGAUUUAUCGCUUCAAGAUGGCCUCGCGUCUGAUUAGCUAGUUGGCGGGGUAACGGCCCACCAAGGCGACGAUCAGUAGCCGGACUGAGAGGUUGAACGGCCACAUUGGGACUGAGAUACGGCCCAGACUCC
RNAcentral lists this ribosomal RNA (267 nucleotides) under uncultured Oscillibacter sp. RNAcentral's name for it is "partial 16S ribosomal RNA". It matches the Rfam family "Bacterial small subunit ribosomal RNA", at positions 74 to 339 of the family's 1533-position model. The record is from RNAcentral. Lineage: Bacteria; Bacillati; Bacillota; Clostridia; Eubacteriales; Oscillospiraceae.